This 477-nucleotide ribosomal RNA is filed under the name uncultured bacterium. RNAcentral describes it as "partial 16S ribosomal RNA". It matches the Rfam family "Bacterial small subunit ribosomal RNA", at positions 28 to 507 of the family's 1533-position model. The record is from RNAcentral.
GAUAAACGCUGGCGGCGUGCAUAACACAUGCAAGUCGAACGAUGAAACUUAACUGAUUUCUUCGGAAUGAUUUUAAGUGGAGUAGUGGCGGACGGGUGAGUAACGCGUGAGUAACCUGCCUUGCACAAGGGGAUAGCCGUUGGAAACGACGAAUAAUACCCUAUGAUAUAAACUCUUCGCAUGAAGAGCUUAUCAAAGAUUUAUCGGUGUAAGAUUGACUCGCGUCUGAUUAGCUAGUUGGUGGGGUAACAGCCUACCAAGGCAACGAUCAGUAGCCGGCUUGAGAGCGUGUACGGCCACAUUGGGACUGCGACACGGCCCAGACUCCUACGGGAGGCAGCAGUGGUGAAUUUUGCACAAUGGGGGCAACCCUGAUGCAGCGACGCCGCGUGAUUUAGAAGGCCUUCGGGUUGUAAAAAUCUUUUGUAUGGGAAGAAAAUGACAGUACCAUACGAAUAAGGACCGGCUAAUUACGUG